Molecule: ribosomal RNA, 415 nt
Filed under: uncultured bacterium
Lineage: Bacteria
Description: bacterial SSU rRNA
Rfam family: Bacterial small subunit ribosomal RNA
Source: RNAcentral
UCGGGAAUAUUGCGCAAUGGAGGAAACUCUGACGCAGUGACGCCGCGUAUAGGAAGAAGGUUUUCGGAUUGUAAACUAUUGUCGUGAGGGAAGAAAUUGACAGUACCUCAGGAGGAAGCUCCGGCUAACUAUGUGCCAGCAGCCGCGGUAAUACAUAGGGAGCAAGCGUUAUCCGGAUUUAUUGGGUGUAAAGGGUGCGUAGACGGGAAAUUAAGUUAGUUGUGAAAUCCCUCGGCUUAACUGAGGAACUGCAACUAAAACUGGUUUUCUUGAGUACUGGAGAGGUAAGUGGAAUUCCUAGUGUAGCGGUGAAAUGCGUAGAUAUUAGGAGGAACACCAGUGGCGAAGGCGACUUUCUGGACAGUAACUGACGUUGAGGCACGAAAGUGUGGGGAGCAAACAGGAUUAGAUACCC